Molecule: transfer RNA, 88 nt
Filed under: Methylomirabilis sp. (SeqCode)
Lineage: Bacteria; Methylomirabilota (SeqCode); Methylomirabilia (SeqCode); Methylomirabilales (SeqCode); Methylomirabilaceae (SeqCode)
Also listed under: 1 other name
Description: tRNA-Leu
Rfam family: tRNA
About the family: Transfer RNA (tRNA) molecules are approximately 80 nucleotides in length.
Source: RNAcentral
GCCGGGGUGGCGGAACUGGGAGACGCACGGGACUUAAAAUCCUGCGGGCCUCUGGCCUAUGCGGGUUCGACUCCCGCCCCCGGCACCA